ACCUUCUGUGGUGUAGUUGGUAGCGCCUUGGUACAGAAAUUAUGUGUCCUUGGUUCAAGCCCAGGUUGGGGUA
Molecule: non-coding RNA, 73 nt
Organism: Halocaridina rubra (Hawaiian volcano shrimp)
Lineage: Eukaryota; Metazoa; Arthropoda; Malacostraca; Decapoda; Atyidae
Source: the annotation of a GenBank genome assembly